This is a long non-coding RNA of Numida meleagris (helmeted guineafowl), 1561 nucleotides long. The record is from Ensembl. Lineage: Eukaryota; Metazoa; Chordata; Aves; Galliformes; Numididae.
GAGACUAUGUGAAUGGAAUCAGAAGCAGAGGAUGGGGAGGAUGCCUGCACUGUGCAGCGGAAUGUGGGAGAGCACACGAUUGCCGUGGAAACCAGCUAUAGUAAAUGGAGCUCUUCAGCUGCAGGGGAGGAUUUAUACCACCAGGCUGGGAGCAGGCAAUUUAAAUCAGCCAUCCGCAGCCUUCCAGCAAAGCAUCAAAGAGCCCCCGAGAACAGCAAGAUUCCAGCCUCCUCCUUCAGGAGAAGUUUGAUGCUGAAAACCCCGGCGGUCCAACCAAAAUACAAAGCCAGGAUCUGGGUCCUCCCGUCCCACAUUUGUCGCUGCUGUGUCUUUGUGAGAGUGUUGCCCACGCAGCAGACGCUGCCCAACGAGAGCUCCUGUUUCCCUUUGCAGUUUUCUCUCUCCAGUGCUGUCCCCGUUGUACAACCGCUGCCAUGCAGCAGAGCUGAUCUGCAGUCCUGGCCACAUGGGCUGCUAAUCACAUCGCGUGAUCGAUACCACGAGUGGCACGUCAACCACAACGCUGAGAUUUGCCAGCCUGGGAAAAAUAUCAAACAUCAAGAGAUAGAACUCAUCGAUACGUCAAAUAGAAAGAGUGACUUUACAGGUGACAGAGCCAGAUUGCCUAAUUGGAGUCCUGACGUGAAGCAAAUGCUCUCACUCAAUGUAUGCUGCCUCAGACCAAGAACUUGUGCCUGAACUGCAGCAUAUUUAAACACCACUGUCCUGGAUACCAGCUAAUGGAGAAUGUGCUAGAUUCCUAAUAAGGUGGUUGUUUUAUUGUUUAAUUACCUCCAUUUCAGCAUCACACCUUAUUGCUAGUCUGAAAUGGCUUGACUGCAAACCCUGGCUGCGUCAAUCUCCACGAGAUUUAGAAGCCUUCCUUCUGUUGCCAGAAAUUUCAUUGUCUACAAAGUUGAUUGUCACCUAUGAUUAAGCCACACCUUAAAAUUUUCUUAAGCAGUUAAAUCAAUUAACUCGCUUCGUUUUGCAUCGCUCCCGUAGCUGAUAGUUGCAUUCCCAGUACUGAGAGCCUUCCCACUGCUCCUUCAUUUUAGCACACGCGUUCUCAUCUUCCUUCAGCUGAGCUGUCCAUGUGGUGAUGUUUGGCUGUGUGCAACACCCGCUCCAAAGCAUCCCUCUCUGCAGAGCAAACCCUCCCAUCUCUCCCAUUGGUUCUUACUGUUAUUCGAAAUUUCUCCAGAUAAUUGAUGGAUAACUUUGCACAGAGCAUAAAUCUUUUAGGACGCACCAGAAAUUCCUCCGCUGGAUAAUUACUUUUGGAUGCACGCUACCCAGUGUUCCAUCCAUUUAAUAUAAGCUACGCUGAUUUUGUUAAGUACUAUUUUUAACAGAAUGUCAUGCGAGAUUAAGUCAACCGCUUUGCAGAAGUCUAUGUUUAUUAUUUCAGCCAAAUUACCUUUCUGAACUGAAUUCAUAAUCUCUUCAGAAGAACGAGUGCUCAUUUGAUGAGCAGCUCUCUGGAGCGAUGGACUGAAGUUCCUUGGCCCUUCUCAUUGGGUCCAGUGUGAGCAGAUUAGUGUCAGGCUAACGGGUUUAG